This 1122-nucleotide ribosomal RNA is filed under the name Paragaeumannomyces smokiensis. Its description in RNAcentral is "partial large subunit ribosomal RNA". It matches the Rfam family "Eukaryotic large subunit ribosomal RNA", at positions 1 to 1155 of the family's 3401-position model. The record is from RNAcentral. Lineage: Eukaryota; Fungi; Ascomycota; Sordariomycetes; Chaetosphaeriales; Chaetosphaeriaceae.
UUGACCUCGGAUCAGGUAGGAAUACCCGCUGAACUUAAGCAUAUCAAUAAGCGGAGGAAAAGAAACCAACAGGGAUUGCCCUAGUAACGGCGAGUGAAGCGGCAACAGCUCAAAUUUGAAAUCUGGCCCCAGGCCCGAGUUGUAAUUUGCAGAGGAUGCUUCGGGCACGGCGCCUUCCAAGUCCCCUGGAACGGGGCGCCAGAGAGGGUGAGAGCCCCGUACUGUCGGACGCCACGCCUAUGUGAAGCUCCUUCGACGAGUCGAGUAGUUUGGGAAUGCUGCUCAAAAUGGGAGGUAGACCCCUUCUAAAGCUAAAUACCGGCCAGAGACCGAUAGCGCACAAGUAGAGUGAUCGAAAGAUGAAAAGCACUUUGAAAAGAGGGUUAAACAGCACGUGAAAUUGUUGAAAGGGAAGCGCUUGUGACCAGACUUGCGCCGUCGUGAUCAUCUGGUGUUCUCGCCAGUGCACUCGCUUCGGCUCAGGCCAGCGUCGGUUCGUGCGGGGGGAUAAAGGCUCUGGGAACGUGGCUCCCCCGGGAGUGUUAUAGCCCUCUGCGUCAUACCCCCGCUAGGACCGAGGUUCGCGCUCUGCAAGGACGCUGGCAUAAUGGUUACUAGCGACCCGUCUUGAAACACGGACCAAGGAGUCGAGGUUUUGCGCGAGUGUUUGGGUGCAAAACCCGCACGCGUAAUGAAAGUGAACGCAGGUGGGAGCUUCGGCGCACCACCGACCGAUCCAGAUGUUCUCGGAUGGAUUUGAGUAGGAGCGUAGGGCCUCGGACCCGAAAGAUGGUGAACUAUGCUUGGAUAGGGUGAAGUCAGAGGAAACUCUGAUGGAGGCUCGCAGCGGUUCUGACGUGCAAAUCGAUCGUCAAAUCUGAGCAUGGGGGCGAAAGACUAAUCGAACCAUCUAGUAGCUGGUUACCGCCGAAGUUUCCCUCAGGAUAGCAGUGUUGUCUUCAGUUUUAUGAGGUAAAGCGAAUGAUUAGGGACUCGGGGGCGCCAUAUUGCCUUCAUCCAUUCUCAAACUUUAAAUAUGUAAGAAGCCCUUGUUACUUAACUGAACGUGGGCACUCGAAUGUAUCAACACUAGUGGGCCAUUUUUGGUAAGCAGAACUGGCG